UACGAAGGGGACUAGCGUUGCUCGGAAUCACUGGGCGUAAAGCGCACGUAGGCGGAUCUUUAAGUCAGAGGUGAAAUCCCAAGGCUCAACCUUGGAACUGCCUUUGAUACUGGGGAUCUCGAGUCCGGAAGAGGUGAGUGGAACUGCGAGUGUAGAGGUGAAAUUCGUAGAUAUUCGCAAGAACACCAGUGGCGAAGGCGGCUCACUGGUCCGGUACUGACGCUGAGGUGCGAAAGCGUGGGGAGCAAACAGG
This 253-nucleotide ribosomal RNA is filed under the name uncultured bacterium. RNAcentral's name for it is "partial 16S ribosomal RNA". It matches the Rfam family "Bacterial small subunit ribosomal RNA", at positions 524 to 776 of the family's 1533-position model. The record is from RNAcentral.